Long non-coding RNA from Dreissena polymorpha, 4101 nucleotides. RefSeq lists it as uncharacterized. NCBI's taxonomy places the organism in Eukaryota, Metazoa, Mollusca, Bivalvia, Myida, Dreissenidae. The transcript has 2 exons. The record is from RefSeq and is a predicted model, not a curated record.
UUUCAUCAUGCCUUAGAAAUUUACGGUUCGGGUGCGCUGAUCAGUAUACUUAUUAGUACUCCGCGUUAAAUCGUAUAGCGGAGUACUUUUGUCCUGACGGACAUGAGAAAACAAACCGGUUUUGCAAGUUUGUUUGUGCAUGGCUAUUUAUAGAAAUAAAUAGCUUUCGAUUUCAGUUCUAGCGAAGGCGUCUACGUGGCAACAUCAAAUUCAAAUUCAUAAUGUUGUUGUAUACAAGAGUAUGUGUGUAUAUUUAUGCAUACGAUUAAUUUUUUUUUACGAAUAUGCUUGGAUAAAGGCCGUCAUUCCUAUAUUCUGAAGAAUGUACUAAGUGCAUGGCUACGGUUCACACAUUUUCUUCCUUGGUUGGGUGUUCCCACCUGAGAAAAGUAAUGGGAGUUGUUCGUGGGCGACUAGCAUUCUUUUGAUGAAGAUAAGGUUUAAUCUGUAGUAAAUCGAAAAAGAAAAACACUUUAUGGUAAUGAGAUUAAAUUUUGGAAAGUUAUUUUAAAGUUUGAACCAGGCAAAAUUUACUUAAAAAAUACUACAGAUUUUACCUGAGCAUACACUUAUGCACAGAAUACAAAUAUGUGCAUGAAUUAUACUUGUUAGUAUAUAUUAGAAGUUGUGUACCUGCUUUAUUAAAAGCAAGUUUGUAUUGAAUCUCUGUGAACAUGUUGCCACAAUAUAUGCGUCUCUCGCAAAUCGCACAACAUAGUUGUUAUGUUUGUUUGAUGCAAAGUUAGGACAACUAUGUAUUAGUCAACAGGUAAUUAUAUUGAAAAGUUUAUUCUGUUAUUGCUAUUUAAUAAACAUAUUGGUGCUAAAAUGUUUUAUGAAUUAUUUUUUGCCAAGUAUGGAUUUUUGAGCUUUUUUUAACAGACUAAAACCUCUCAUGUUCUGCACUGAUCGUUCUCAGACGGUUAGCUUAGUUUUAUUAUUUUUGCUUGUUUUUGUCGCUAUUCUAUACAGUGUAUUUUGUCUAGUAUAUUAUCUUGUGCCUUAUUGUUUGAUAAAUGGUUCCUUGACAUAAAUAAAGGACCGCAUGGUGUAAUAAGGACUCUCUCCUGGUGGUGCAGAUGAAGGUUCUCUUUGUGUAUAUUAUAUUCGAUGUAUGAGAUACAUCACAAUGCUUCCGUGUUGAGGGUUGCUACUAUGCAAUGACAGAACAUGAAAUUGGGGACCUACAACUUCUAUCAAUUGCGUCAGAUCGGCCAUUAACUUUUUUUUCGUUUAAAAUAAUGAAACAUAAGGUUUAAAAGCGUUCACUCAUGACGGACUUUAAGCUAAGAAAUCGUUCUCACGAGAAAAAGGUUAACAGUACACACAAUUCACAUAAGCAAAGAUGUAUUCGAACCAAUUAGGAAACGAGAAAGCCUGUAUAAUCAGAGUCACUUGCAUGCAACAUGCAAUAUUAUCUCACUUGACGAAGUACUCACAAACUCACAUGCACGGUUUAGAGAUGACUGCAUCCAGUCUCAAUUGCAUGACACAUAAUUUCAAUUAGAGCCCAAAUGGACAUAUUUAUGACAAGAUGAUGCUUUGAAUAACACAAACUGCAAUGAAGAACGUAAAUUAUAGUGAGAUGAAAUUUGGAGUUAUUAAUUUAUAUUUUGUUACGUGCUCAAUAGUGAUAUGUUUUAUAUAUACAUUGAGCAAGACUAGGUAGUUUGUGACGACUUUUCAAGAGAAAGUGCAGCUGCAGAACUAUGCACACUGUAUUUCUAAUUUGUAAGGUAUUUAGAGCAAUAAAUCCUGGUCAAAACAAAAUACUUCACUUAUCAUAUGUAUAUUUGCUUAGUAUGCUUUCUUAACUAUUUGGAUUUUUAUUCCUUUUCAGAAAUAAGAUGCUUGCAGCAUGUGAAAUAAGAAAGGUAAUGUCGCAAUUAAAAUUUCCAAGAUGAGUUUAUGUUCACUGACUUAUGGGAUUGACCUAAAGAUCCUUUCAUAUACGUGCUAACUCAUAUAAUUGUAAUCAUCAACUCUCUGUGACAUUGAUAGCGAAAUCAAUGGAAUAUUAUUGAAUUUAUGUUUAAAACUACAAUGUAGGCAUUAAGCAUUAUCCAGUUAUGGGUUUGGCAGCGUAUUAUAUACAUUACACAGGUUUUAUACAUUUGUCGAUCUCGUUUAAGAUGUAUCAACUUUUAAUACAUUUUCUUCUUGACUAGAUGUCACGGAUUUGGCUACAAAAAUAAGUUAAACAUAAUAUUAGACCUUUUUGUUAGAUAAUUAGAUUUUAGCCAUUCAUCUUGUAAACUGUUUGACCAUUUUAUCAAUAAAAAUGAUUCUGUUAUUUUCAUUGGAUAAUGGACUAUUACAUGUAUUUGCCAUCCAGGGUUAUUAUAUAUGAUCGGUUAAUAUUAACAGCUAUAAAGAUUUAAAUAUUUGCCAUUUUUUGGUAAAUACUUGAGUGUAUUUAUGCCUGAAACAUUAUCAUACCUUAGAACUUCGUUUAACUUUCGAGAGAAUAAAAAUUAACAGAGUGAAAACGAGGACACUUAUGUUUAAAAAAAUAAGCUGUUGAUUACAUGUGAUUUGGAUUUAAUAAAUACGAAAUAAUAACACUAACAAGAAACAGUCUUAUUUACAGGUAUCAAGGCACCCUCGAUAUAUUCUUAUUCGAUACAAUGUUAAAGCAGAAAGCAAUGAAAAUCAAUAUAAAAUGAAUUACCUGGAAUAUUGUUUUUGUAAACUCCAUUUUUCAUAAAAUUAUAUGUUCGAAUGCCUUUAUCUGCUCCAUGUUAUGUUUUCUAUGAAAUUCUUAUGGAAUCAGUUUCCAAUGUUUGAAUGAUUUUGUCAAAAUUGUAAGUCUUUGUGUGAGUUUUUUAUAUGGAUUUUAAUGAUACUUUGUUUACUUGUGUAUCAAUAUAAUUUCGCGUAACAAGCUCCCGUUUGACUGUGAAUCUCUAAACUGAUAGGUAUCAACCUCCUCCCGCCAAGUAACUGUCAUCAUCAAUUGGCAUGGUUGUAGGUUUAAACGUCCUCUUGACCGACCGACCAUCCGACCGAUCGAGUACAGUGGCCAUUAUGAAGAAACGUUCGAACAAAAUGUUCUUGACAAAAAUCCGAGUUGAUACAUUGGAAUUACUUGAUUCAGUUUUGAUUUAUAACUUCUGUCUAAAACUGUGCAACAUACAUGCAUUUCCAGACAUUUUACUCGUAAUGAAGAUUAAUAGCACAGACACUCUCAAUGGAAUUAUUUUGAAGGAAUCUUGAUAUAUUCUUUACUUCUGCUUCAAUUAAAGCCUUUCAUGCAACCGACAUUUCGAUUAAGUGCUCUUGUUGUAUUACACUUUGUAUUACGUUUUUGACCUGAUUAUGAAUUCUGCACAAAGCUCGAACUCACAAGGUUCCAAUUAAAACAUUACACAGAGUUGAACGUUUUGUUCCGCGGGGUUAAACAUUGAACUUUAAUUAACAUAAAGGCAAGGUUGUGUUGCAGUAACUUCUAAAUAUAGUAGAUAACAUGUAUUUACCUAUUACGAAUUCAUGGUUUUCAGUCAUUUUAUAAAUUAAGUUUUUUGUUUAACAUGCGUGUAUAAAACACAUACCGUAAGUUACUGGUAUUUUGGCCAUUUUCAAAAUUUCGCCAUAAAAUGAUACACUGAUAAUACCGGUAGAUUUUGCAUGAAGCGUGGGGGAUGAUAAGUAAAGUUUCAAACGAAGGGCUUAAUUAAAUUAUGCUAUGAUACAUUCGUUGUUCUUAAUGUAUUACUGCUGAUAGAAGCAGGCAGUGAAUUAUUGAAUAUUUUAUUAAUAUAACAAGUAACACGAGUAACAACAGCAUUUAUUUUGGUGAAAUAACAGUUUUCUAAUACUAGUAUACUCCUAACAUAUGGCUGAUCGUAGGAAGCAGUCAACUUAAUCUUCAAAUUUAGGAUGAGUUACACGUUCAGAAGAGACGUUAGAUAGUUUCUUUACAUGUGUCCAACAAAUAAACUUGCGAUUGCAUUUGAUACUAUGUUUAUCAUUUUCGAAUUUUCUUUACUAAUGAAUAUGCUAUGUUUGUAUCGUAGUGUAUACUCAAUUCCCUCAUCUAUGUUUAAUACAUUAUUCACUUAUUUGUGAUUUUAGUAAAGACAAUUGUCUUAUUAGUUUUUA